AUUAAUUAAUUAUUAUGGGACGGAAUGUAAUUUCAGUCGCUACUUUGGGACAGAAUAUAUUAUUCCGUCACCAAUUUGUGGAAAUGGUUCCAUCAUUGAGAGAAAUUCUUUUAAUUUCACACGUUAUUUUCUUUACCCUCAAAUGAGAGAAACAAAAAACUCAAACCUCUUUCUAUGCUCUCUCGUCGGCCAGACCUUUUCGAUCCAGAUCCCGCCACCACUCAACCAGAUCGGAGAUAAAGACACACUUUUCGAGCUCCCCAUAGCGAGAUCUAUUUUUUGAGAGGAGCAACUAUGUCGUCUGCCUCUCCACUGUUGUGAAAUAGUUUUGGUGGAACCACUAUGUUGGAACUCUACAGCCGCCGUGGUACGAUCUACUUCAAAGGGAUCAAUCCUCAAGUUACUGAAAUGAUGCAAAGAAGGGCCAUUGACAUCUAACUAGUUGACUAUUUCUAUGGUGCAAAAGAAGGGCCAUUGACACAACUUGAGAACAUAAUAUGAACAAUAGAUAAUAUGUUAGGAAAAUUUUCUUAAGCUAUGUUCACAACUUAAAUCUCUACCUCAACAUUAUGAGUUUGGUGAUGAAUGAGUACUUUCUCAAGCCUAUUGAUUAUGAUGCAUUGCAUAAGGAUUGGAAACAUGUGUCCAUGCCUCCAAGAUAAUAGUGAUGACUUUGUACUUACAAUCUUCAAAAUUAAUAUAAGUUUUAGUCUUUUGAAUGUAUUUUUAGAAUUUGGAUUAUGUAUAUUAUGUUUAUAAUUGUAUCAGACAAAUAUGUAAUUGCUUAUUAGUUGAAUAAAAAUUGAUGAUCAUUACAUUAUGAA
Long non-coding RNA from Trifolium pratense (red clover), 824 nucleotides. RefSeq lists it as uncharacterized. The transcript has 4 exons. The record is from RefSeq and is a predicted model, not a curated record. Lineage: Eukaryota; Viridiplantae; Streptophyta; Magnoliopsida; Fabales; Fabaceae.